GCGGGGGUUGCCGAGCUGGUUAAAAUAAUCAAUGGGGUCAGAAACUAAAGGCGCCGGACUUAAGAUCCGGUCCCGUAGGGGUUCGUGGGUUCGAAUCCCACCCCCCGCA
This 109-nucleotide transfer RNA is filed under the name Candidatus Bathyarchaeota archaeon. Its description in RNAcentral is "tRNA-Leu". It matches the Rfam family "tRNA". From Rfam's summary of the family: Transfer RNA (tRNA) molecules are approximately 80 nucleotides in length. Lineage: Archaea; Thermoproteati; Candidatus Bathyarchaeota. The record is from RNAcentral.